Non-coding RNA from Procambarus clarkii (red swamp crayfish), 1441 nucleotides. NCBI's taxonomy places the organism in Eukaryota, Metazoa, Arthropoda, Malacostraca, Decapoda, Cambaridae. The record is from RefSeq and is a predicted model, not a curated record.
CCGAGAAGGGCAGACCUCAUCAGCGCUUGUGUUUAUCAAGUCAAUGUGUAUAUCACUCUCCGCUCACAGAGCGGCCUCUAGGAGCGGCGAGAUGCCGGCUUCAUCUCCUGCAGAUGGAUCCAGUGGUGAGUGAGCAUGGAGUAACUCCAUAAUGGGGGGACAAGUGCCCGUCUCUCCCCCCCCCCCCCUGGCUCACUGGGCACGCCUCACAAGGGACUACAACACCAUCAACACCUUGCUGGACGCCUUCAUGUAUGAGGAGUGAGGGCGGGAGGUCAUCUGAGACUUCACAAUGGUGGCAUUCCUGACGGGUCUCCAAGGCGGUUUAAUACAUAGUUUCCUUCUACUGUCUUUGAAGUUUGAAGGGAUAAUAAUAAUCAUUUUCUAUUCUUUUCAGGCAUAAGCUAUUCGGAAAUUGCAUUACAUUGUGCAAUAAUGUUCGUAAAAAUUAUACCGGUAUUGAUGAUAUAUAUAUAUAUAUAUAUAUAUAUUAUAUAUAUGUCUCUUAUUCUAUAUCUCUGAGCCUCGAUAUAUUUUUUUGUUUCUAAAAAUCACAGCCUGUACCUCUUGACGAAGUUACGAUUCACUAUCUCUCUACAAAGUUGUAAAUCCCUCUCUCAGGCUCUUUUAUCCAUCUAGAGCUCUGUGGUUGCUGUUUUUUCUUUCUUUUUCCUGUUUGUACUCGCCCAGUAUACCGCCCGGUGAGUUUACCCCCCCCCCCCCCCCCCCCCAAGUUCUAAGGAUAAAUGGAUUUUUACUCUGAAAGAACCGGCUUUGUUGUGUUCAAAGUAGAUCACCGCUAGCAAUACAUAUUUGAUCCGAUUUCCGACCGCAGAGACCAUGUGUCUCACUUUUUGGCUGCAGAUACCAUGUUUCUCACCUUAUGACCGCAGAUACCAUGUGUCUCAUCUUAUGCCCACAGAGACAAUGUGUCUCAUCUUAUGCCCACAGAGACAAUGUGUCUCACCUUAUGCCCACAGAGACAAUGUGUCUCACCUUAUGCCCACAGAGACAAUGUGUCUCACCUUAUGCCCACAGAGACAAUGUGUCUCAUCUUAUGCCCACAGAGACAAUGUGUCUUAUCUUAUGCCCACAGAGACAAUGUUCUCACCUUAUGCCCACAGAGGCAAUGUUUCUCACCUUCAGGUGAGAGAAGACAUUUUUACUUUAUAUUUUAUGUUCAAUCCAUAAUUUUUUGUCUAGCUUUGUGCUUGAGACAAUGGUUGUAUAGAAACUGUUUGCUUACAAAAAUGAUGAGAUAUUUCUCAUGUUAUGUCCCUGAAGGCAAAAAGACUUAGUGCUACUUUAUGCCCCUGCGGCCAAAUGUUUUAUAUUAAUUUAUGCCCCCAUAGACAAAAUGUAUGUCUAUUACUAUAUAUCCGAAGGAAAAUAUUUUAUAUUGAUUUCCGAAUAUUCAUGACUUUAUGUGUUGGGGACAAUA